Molecule: ribosomal RNA, 645 nt
Filed under: uncultured Alphaproteobacteria bacterium
Lineage: Bacteria; Pseudomonadati; Pseudomonadota; Alphaproteobacteria
Description: bacterial SSU rRNA
Rfam family: Bacterial small subunit ribosomal RNA
Source: RNAcentral
CUAAUACAUGCAAGUCGAACGAUCCCUUCGGGGAUAGUGGCGCACGGGUGCGUAACGCGUGGGAAUCUGCCCUUGGGUUCGGAAUAACUUCUGGAAACGGAAGCUAAUACCGGAUGAUGACGUAAGUCCAAAGAUUUAUCGCCCAAGGAUGAGCCCGCGUAGGAUUAGCUAGUUGGUGAGGUAAAGGCUCACCAAGGCGACGAUCCUUAGCUGGUCUGAGAGGAUGAUCAGCCACACUGGGACUGAGACACGGCCCAGACUCCUACGGGAGGCAGCAGUAGGGAAUAUUGGACAAUGGGGGAAACCCUGAUCCAGCAAUGCCGCGUGAGUGAUGAAGGCCUUAGGGUUGUAAAGCUCUUUUACCCGGGAUGAUAAUGACAGUACCGGGAGAAUAAGCUCCGGCUAACUCCGUGCCAGCAGCCGCGGUAAUACGGAGGGAGCUAGCGUUGUUCGGAAUUACUGGGCGUAAAGCGCACGUAGGCGGCUAUUCAAGUCAGAGGUGAAAGCCCGGGGCUCAACCCCGGAACUGCCUUUGAAACUAGAUAGCUUGAAUCCAGGAGAGGUGAGUGGAAUUCCGAGUGUAGAGGUGAAAUUCGUAGAUAUUCGGAAGAACACCAGUGGCGAAGGCGGCUCACUGGACUGGUA